UACACGCUGUGACUAGCAUAUCAAUAAGCGGAGGAAAAGAAACUAACAAGGAUUCCCCUAGUAACGGCGAGUGAAGCGGGAAGAGCUCAAAUUUGAAAUCUUAAAGGGUUUCCCUUUACGAAUUGUAGUUUAAAGAAGUGUUUUCUGUUGAGGUUUUGGUAAAAGUUCUUUGGAAUAGGACAUCAUAGAGGGUGAGAAUCCCGUAUUUGACCUUUACUUUCAACUUUGUGAUACACUUUCAAAGAGUCGGAUUGUUUGGGAAUGCAGUCCAAAAUGGGUGGUAAAUUUCAUCUAAAGCUAAAUAUUGGCGAGAGACCGAUAGCGAACAAGUACCGUGAGGGAAAGAUGAAAAGAACUUUGAAAAGAGAGUUAAACAGUACGUGAAAUUGUCAAAAGGGAAGCGUUUCGACACCAGUGUUGUUUUUCUGAAAAUCAAUUAAAGAACUGUUUAUGCUAAGCUGUUUAGACUUUAUCAGCUAUCUGUUUAGUUUUGAGCUUUUCUUUAAUGCACUUUUCAGUUAACAAGUCAACAUCAAUUUCUUUUGCUGUAAAAAAGCUUGAGGAAGGUGGCUUGAGAUUCGUCUUAAGUGUUUAUAGCCUCUUGCCUAUGCAGUCGGAGAGAUUGAGGUCUGCAGCGUAGAUCCUUCGGGGCUAAAUGCAUUUGUGCUAAGUUAUAACAUUUUAUAGACAACUUGUUGACUAUGAUUUGUCUUGUAGCUUACUCGCUUAUGUUAUUUUACCUACGCUUAGGAUGUUGACGCGCGUGUGUGCGUG
Molecule: ribosomal RNA, 774 nt
Filed under: uncultured Neocallimastigales
Lineage: Eukaryota; Fungi; Neocallimastigomycota; Neocallimastigomycetes; Neocallimastigales
Description: partial large subunit ribosomal RNA
Rfam family: Eukaryotic large subunit ribosomal RNA
Source: RNAcentral